Long non-coding RNA from Nomascus leucogenys (northern white-cheeked gibbon), 1634 nucleotides. RefSeq lists it as uncharacterized. NCBI's taxonomy places the organism in Eukaryota, Metazoa, Chordata, Mammalia, Primates, Hylobatidae. The transcript is spliced from 5 exons. The record is from RefSeq and is a predicted model, not a curated record.
CCCAAGAAGCAAUGUAAAGUUUGAAACAAGCCGGGCGCGGUGGCUCACGCCUGUAAUCCCAGCACUUUGGGAGGCCGAGGCUGGCGAAUCAUUUGAUUAGAGACGGGGUUUCACCGUGUUAGCCAGGAUGGCCUCGAUCUCCUGACCUCGUGAUCCGCCCGCCUCGGCCUCCCAAAGUGCUGAGAUUACAGACGUGAGCCACUGCGUCCGGCCUAUAUUAGGUUUUUAAAUAGCAGGAGGCAAAGCUUUUCGGUGUGAUCCUGACUUCACUUGGGGAAAAAGGGCAGACACAGGGUCUCACUGUGUCUGCCAGGCUGGAGUGCGGCAGUCUGGAACUCCUGGGCCCAAGCGAUCCUCCAAUCAACCUCCCAAAGCACUGGAACUACAGGUAGCUCAGAGAGCUGCACUGGAGGAGAAAAGCCAGUCCUGGCAGGAGCUUUGGUACCUGGGAAGCUGGAUGGAGAGCCUGGGCCGGAAUAUCAGACCCCUCACCUCUGCAGCCUAGCUUUGUGACCUUGGCAAAUCCAUUCUAUGCGCCUCUGUUUCCUGUACAGUGGGGAUCCUUAUUUCUCUGGCACAGAUUGGUAUUUGUUCUGUAAAGCCCAGUACCACUUUAUUUUAUUUAUUGAUUUUUUGAGACAGGGCCUCACUCUGUUGCCAAGGCUGGAAUGCAGUGGCGAGAUCAUAGCUCACUGCAGCCUCAAACUCCUGGGCUCAGGCCAUCCUCCUGCCUCAGCCUCCUGAGUAGCUGGGACUACAGGCAUGCUCCACUGCGCCUAGCUCCAGUACCAUCUUUAAACGGUGCUCAGAAAACUUGCUAAACUUGGUGGAUGGGAAUUGAAAAGAGAUUUAAUGUUUUAAAAACCAAAGUCACCCAGCUGCAGUGCCACAUGGGAAGGAGGCCUGGAUGUGAAUGUUCCCGGGAGCUGAGAGCUCCUGUGACUGCCGCCAGUUUCCUGUGGUCUCCCACAGACUCAGGACAUCUCCCUCUGCACCAGGACGCCUCAGGACCACCAGAGGGCACUCAUCGCACCUUCACCCCUGGAAGUGAGCUGGUCCUGGGGCCAAAACCCACUGUGCCUGGGAAGCCCUCCCUGGCUUCCGCUCUCCUCAAUGUAUGAUAGCCCUGAUUUACCCCCAGGGACUGUUGCCACUCAGGGUUGUAGAGUAAUAUGUAACCAGACUGGAGAACCACAGCAAUGCUCUCUCCUCUGCCCAUCACCUCCCCUUGGCCCCUCCCUCUUCAUCAGCCUCAUUUUGGAGAAGGGAGAAAGAAGGGAGAGGCAGCAGUCUCCUCCCAGGUGGGGCCGGACUCCAGGGAAGAAGAAUUCUCAGAAGUUGCUGGAGUUGCCGAAUCUGUCAGGGCCCGGGGUUCACAGAGCAGUGAUGGAGGAGAAAGGAGAGGAAGCAGAUCUACGCACACACAGGCAUCAAAACGGAGAAACAAAGUCACAUGCAGAGGGCCGCACAUAGACACAGGGAAACACACACAUGGAGAUGCACAGAAACACGCAGACCCCACGCAGGGACCUGCUUUCCCGCCACAGAGGAAAGCAAUCUGUUAAAACAGACCCACUGUGCACCUAGCCCUCCAUGCUUGGGGACAACACACCUACAAAAAUAUAAGAAAAAAA